RNAcentral lists this ribosomal RNA (489 nucleotides) under uncultured bacterium. Its description in RNAcentral is "bacterial SSU rRNA". It matches the Rfam family "Bacterial small subunit ribosomal RNA", at positions 8 to 496 of the family's 1533-position model. The record is from RNAcentral.
AGAGUUUGAUCAUGGCUCAGGAUGAACGCUGGCGGCGUGCUUAACACAUGCAAGUCGAACGGGGAAUGCUUUGACAGAGACUUCGGUUGAAGUCGUUGUAUUCCUAGUGGCGGACGGGUGAGUAACGCGUGGGUAACCUGCCCCACACAGGGGGAUAACAACCAGAAAUGGCUGCUAAUACCGCAUAAGCGCACAGUACCGCAUGGUACAGUGUGAAAAACUCCGGUGGUGUGGGAUGGGCCCGCGUUGGAUUAGCCAGUUGGCAGGGUAACGGCCUACCAAAGCGACGAUCCAUAGCCGGCCUGAGAGGGUGAACGGCCACAUUGGGACUGAGACACGGCCCAGACUCCUACGGGAGGCAGCAGUGGGGAAUAUUGCACAAUGGGGGAAACCCUGAUGCAGCGACGCCGCGUGAAGGAAGAAGUAUCUCGGUAUGUAAACUUCUAUCAGCAGGGAAGAGAAUGACGGUACCUGACUAAGAAGCCCCGG